Molecule: ribosomal RNA, 1532 nt
Filed under: Klebsiella planticola
Lineage: Bacteria; Pseudomonadati; Pseudomonadota; Gammaproteobacteria; Enterobacterales; Enterobacteriaceae
Description: bacterial SSU rRNA
Rfam family: Bacterial small subunit ribosomal RNA
Source: RNAcentral
AGAGUUUGAUCAUGGCUCAGAUUGAACGCUGGCGGCAGGCCUAACACAUGCAAGUCGAGCGGUAGCACAGAGAGCUUGCUCUCGGGUGACGAGCGGCGGACGGGUGAGUAAUGUCUGGGAAACUGCCUGAUGGAGGGGGAUAACUACUGGAAACGGUAGCUAAUACCGCAUAACGUCGCAAGACCAAAGUGGGGGACCUUCGGGCCUCAUGCCAUCAGAUGUGCCCAGAUGGGAUUAGCUAGUAGGUGGGGUAAUGGCUCACCUAGGCGACGAUCCCUAGCUGGUCUGAGAGGAUGACCAGCCACACUGGAACUGAGACACGGUCCAGACUCCUACGGGAGGCAGCAGUGGGGAAUAUUGCACAAUGGGCGCAAGCCUGAUGCAGCCAUGCCGCGUGUAUGAAGAAGGCCUUCGGGUUGUAAAGUACUUUCAGCGAGGGAGGAAGGCAUUAAGGUUAAUAACCUUAGUGAUUGACGUUACUCGCAGAAGAAGCACCGGCUAACUCCGUGCCAGCAGCCGCGGUAAUACGGAGGGUGCAAGCGUUAAUCGGAAUUACUGGGCGUAAAGCGCACGCAGGCGGUUUGUUAAGUCAGAUGUGAAAUCCCCGGGCUCAACCUGGGAACUGCAUUUGAAACUGGCAAGCUUGAGUCUUGUAGAGGGGGGGUAGAAUUCCAGGUGUAGCGGUGAAAUGCGUAGAGAUCUGGAGGAAUACCGGUGGCGAAGGCGGCCCCCUGGACAAAGACUGACGCUCAGGUGCGAAAGCGUGGGGGAGCAAACAGGAUUAGAUACCCUGGUAGUCCACGCUGUAAACGAUGUCGACUUGGAGGUUGUUCCCUUGAGGAGUGGCUUCCGGAGCUAACGCGUUAAGUCGACCGCCUGGGGAGUACGGCCGCAAGGUUAAAACUCAAAUGAAUUGACGGGGGCCCGCACAAGCGGUGGAGCAUGUGGUUUAAUUCGAUGCAACGCGAAGAACCUUACCUACUCUUGACAUCCAGAGAACUUAGCAGAGAUGCUUUUGGUGCCUUCGGGAACUCUGAGACAGGUGCUGCAUGGCUGUCGUCAGCUCGUGUUGUGAAAUGUUGGGUUAAGUCCCGCAACGAGCGCAACCCUUAUCCUUUGUUGCCAGCGGUCCGGCCGGGAACUCAAAGGAGACUGCCAGUGAUAAACUGGAGGAAGGUGGGGAUGACGUCAAGUCAUCAUGGCCCUUACGAGUAGGGCUACACACGUGCUACAAUGGCAUAUACAAAGAGAAGCGACCUCGCGAGAGCAAGCGGACCUCAUAAAGUAUGUCGUAGUCCGGAUUGGAGUCUGCAACUCGACUCCAUGAAGUCGGAAUCGCUAGUAAUCGUAGAUCAGAAUGCUACGGUGAAUACGUUCCCGGGCCUUGUACACACCGCCCGUCACACCAUGGGAGUGGGUUGCAAAAGAAGUAGGUAGCUUAACCUUCGGGAGGGCGCUUACCACUUUGUGAUUCAUGACUGGGGUGAAGUCGUAACAAGGUAACCGUAGGGGAACCUGCGGUUGGAUCACCU